RNAcentral lists this ribosomal RNA (465 nucleotides) under uncultured bacterium. RNAcentral's name for it is "partial 16S ribosomal RNA". It matches the Rfam family "Bacterial small subunit ribosomal RNA", at positions 28 to 507 of the family's 1533-position model. The record is from RNAcentral.
GACGAACGCUGGCGGCGUGCUUAACACAUGCAAGUCGAACGGAAAGGCCCUGCUUGCCGGGUACUCGAGUGGCGAACGGGUGAGUAACACGUGGGUGAUCUGCCCUGCACUUCGGGAUAAGCCUGGGAAACUGGGUCUAAUACCGGAUAGGAGCCAUUUUUAGUGUGAUGGUUGGAAAGAUUUUUCGGUGUAGGAUGAGCUCGCGGCCUAUCAGCUUGUUGGUGGGGUAAUGGCCUACCAAGGCGGCGACGGGUAGCCGGCCUGAGAGGGUGGACGGCCACAUUGGGACUGAGAUACGGCCCAGACUCCUACGGGAGGCAGCAGUGGGGAAUAUUGCACAAUGGGCGCAAGCCUGAUGCAGCGACGCCGCGUGGGGGAUGACGGCCUUCGGGUUGUAAACUCCUUUCGCUAGGGACGAAGCUUUUUGUGACGGUACCUAGAUAAGAAGCACCGGCUAACUACGUG